RNAcentral lists this ribosomal RNA (504 nucleotides) under uncultured bacterium. RNAcentral's name for it is "partial 16S ribosomal RNA". It matches the Rfam family "Bacterial small subunit ribosomal RNA", at positions 28 to 506 of the family's 1533-position model. The record is from RNAcentral.
GACGAACGCUGGCGGCGUGCCUAAUACAUGCAAGUAGAACGCACAGUUUAUACCGUAGCUUGCUACACCAUAGACUGUGAGUUGCGAACGGGUGAGUAACGCGUAGGUAACCUGCCUGGUAGCGGGGGAUAACUAUUGGAAACGAUAGCUAAUACCGCAUAAUAUUAAUUAUUGCAUGAUAAUUAAUUGAAAGGUGCAAUUGCACCACUACCAGAUGGACCUGCGUUGUAUUAGCUAGUAGGUGAGGUAACGGCUCACCUAGGCGACGAUACAUAGCCGACCUGGGGGGGGGAUCGGCAACACUGGGACUGAGCAACGGCCCAGACCCCUACGGGAGGCAGAAGGAGGGAAUCUUCGGCAAGGGACGAAAGUCGGACCGAGAAACGCCGCGGGAGGGAAGAAGUUUUUCGGAUCUUAAAGCUUUGUUGUAAGGGAAGAACGGGGGGGAGGGGGGAAAGUCCACACUUUGACGGUUUUUUACAAGAAAGGGACGGCUAACUACGG